GAUGAACGCUGGCGGCGUGCCUAAUACAUGCAAGUCGAGCGAACAGAUGAGGAGCUUGCUCCUCUGACGUUAGCGGCGGACGGGUGAGUAACACGUGGAUAACCUACCUAUAAGACUGGGAUAACUUCGGGAAACCGGAGCUAAUACCGGAUAAUAUAUUGAACCGCAUGGUUCAAUAGUGAAAGACGGUUUUGCUGUCACUUAUAGAUGGAUCCGCGCCGCAUUAGCUAGUUGGUAAGGUAACGGCUUACCAAGGCAACGAUGCGUAGCCGACCUGAGAGGCUGAUCGGCCACACUGGAACUGAAACACGGUCCAGACUCCUACGGGAGGCAGCAGUAGGGAAUCUUCCGCAAUGGGCGAAAGCCUGACGGAGCAACGCCGCGUGAGUGAUGAAGGUCUUCGGAUCGUAAAACUCUGUUAUUAGGGAAGAACAAAUGUGUAAGUAACUAUGCACGUCUUGACGGUACCUAAUCAGAAAGCCACGGCUAACUACGUG
This 497-nucleotide ribosomal RNA is filed under the name uncultured bacterium. Its description in RNAcentral is "partial 16S ribosomal RNA". It matches the Rfam family "Bacterial small subunit ribosomal RNA", at positions 28 to 507 of the family's 1533-position model. The record is from RNAcentral.